Molecule: ribosomal RNA, 376 nt
Filed under: uncultured bacterium
Lineage: Bacteria
Description: bacterial SSU rRNA
Rfam family: Bacterial small subunit ribosomal RNA
Source: RNAcentral
GACGAACCGUCCAAACGUUAUUCGGUAUCACUGGGCUUAAAGCGUGCGUAGGCGGCCUAGUAGGUGAGGUGUGAAAUCCCUCGGCUCAACCGAGGAAUAGCGCUUCAAACCACUAGGCUUGAGGGAGACAGGGGUGAUUGGAACAGUUGGUGGAGCGGUGAAAUGCGUUGAUAUCAACUGGAACACCGGUGGCGAAAGCGAAUCACUGGGUCUUUUCUGACGCUGAGGCACGAAAGCUAGGGGAGCGAACGGGAUUAGAUACCCCGGUAGUCCUAGCCGUAAACGAUGAGCACUGGGCUGGGGGGACUUCCACAUCCUCCCGGCCGUAGCGAAAGCGUUAAGUGCUCCGCCUGGGGAGUAUGGUCGCAAGGCUGAA